GAAUAAGUUCAUUAGCAAGUCGUAUUUACCCGUUAGGUGAAAUAAAGAGAUAUAACUUUAAUUCUACUUCAACAUAAAAUUUUCGAAAAUUAUGGGUAAAAAUAAAUCUUGCGACCCACAACGCAACUCCCAGGCUGCGAAAGACCAAUUAUAAGGCGCCAUAAAAAAAGUAUAAAACAUUUUCAUCGCUAUCAAACAAUACAAUAUGUUCUCAGCUGUUUGGAGCUGCCAAAUUUAAUUAACCACGAGCACAGAAUGCGAAUUUAUGAUACGAACGCUUCGCAAACUUCAACAGUCAGUAAUAAUAGCCUUUGCAGUGACAACUGUUCCUUGACGGAGACUCACUUUAAGCAUCAGUUGUAAACAUUCUGACAGACCAGGACCGACAUGUUCAAGACAUUGCUUGUCUUGAUGAUCGUAUGCUUCGCAUCUGUAUACAGUUCCCCGUUUUUAUAUCAGCCGCCAAAUGGUAAGUUAAGGCUAUAUAAUUUCUUGAUUUAGGUUAGGUUAAACAGGUGUUUCAGUCAUUUCAAUCUUUUGUUAAACUCUCCACUUAUAUCACUCCCAACAGUUGACAGAGUUAUACAUCUUUACGCUAAUCAGUAUGCAAAGGCGAAAAUUGGUUGGAGAUUAUUCAGAAGCUAGAACCAGGAUAAGGAAAUAGUACCAGGAAAGGCUGAAGGUCAAUUUAAAAAGAUUAACUUAAGAGAGUUAAUCCCUUCAUAAAGGCCUUGAUAGAGCAAUGCAUUUUCACAGUAAUGUUGGGCAAAGGUCAACAUUGGUAAAAAUUAUAGAGUCAAGUUCUGCCAUAAUAGGGAGAUAGCCUUUCUUAAUUGAGCAUGAGGUUAACUAACGAGCGUUAAUCCCUUUUAGACCUUAUUCUCUGGGUAAUUCUUCUCACGUUAUUUUUAGAUAUGGCGUCCAGUUCUCUACCAGGUGGAUUUCGUAUUGCCGGUUAAAAAUUAAAAUUAACAAUCCCUCUGAAAUCGAAGUUUAAGUUUUAUCAGAUGUAAGACCCUCUAUAAUAACGUUUAAGCUCGACAGCGAUCCUCAGUUUGUUAUAGAGGACGUGAGGUCUCAUAUGAAUGGCUUAAAACCCUGAUCAAUGAUCCUGAUCCAGAUCACCCAA
This is a long non-coding RNA of Orbicella faveolata, 1129 nucleotides long. NCBI's taxonomy places the organism in Eukaryota, Metazoa, Cnidaria, Anthozoa, Scleractinia, Merulinidae. The record is from RefSeq and is a predicted model, not a curated record.